CUCAGCCUCCACCUCCAUCAAAACCCUCCGGGCCUUUUCUGCAGCAAUUUGUGAAAAUAAACAGCAGAUAACAUCUGUUGGAAGGCUUGUUUGCUGUUCUUUCCUUCUCUUUCGUCUCAGAGUAUAUAAUUAAAACCAAUUAUGACAAGCGCAGCAUGGUGGGGCCCGGCGUGCCCUGGUGCAGGAAGAGCCUGGUGAGGAAGCACGCCCUGAACUCUGCGCUCCGGCUGCCACACCUGGGACAUGCACAGAAGGGCCGGGAUGCAGCUCCCUGGCCCUGCAGCAGAACCAAAACGACCACACAGGGGUUCAGCAGCAUGGGGAGAAGCAGGAGAGGGUGAAGGUACCCCCAGGGAGUGUGGACAAAACCAGUAUAUCCAGGGAAGAUUGUGCUGGAAAUUGUGCUGGAAAAGUGGCACAAACAAGGAGAGAGACACACAAAAGCAUCAGGGAACUGCAGACCAGCAGAAAGGAGUACUCUGAGCCCCGAGCUUCCGUUUCUCCUUCCAUACAGCCCCACUGCUCCCAUCCACAACUGCAGCUGCAUCUUCCAUAAGAGAAAUCCACCUCCUACCACAAGACCAUUUUUCAUCGGGGUUCUGACGCAAGUGAGAUGAGAGUUCAGUGCAACCUCACGGCCACCCUGGACAGCCAACUGCUAUUGCAAGAAACCACAUUUUCUGAUCACCUUGUAAUUUAUGGAGCUCACUCUUGGGUUUUCACCCUCCGCCUUCCCUGU
Molecule: long non-coding RNA, 739 nt
Organism: Meleagris gallopavo (turkey)
Lineage: Eukaryota; Metazoa; Chordata; Aves; Galliformes; Phasianidae
Source: RefSeq, a predicted model, not a curated record